AGGACGAACGCUGGCGGCGUGCUUAACACAUGCAAGUCGAGCGAGAAACCUUCGGGUUUCUAGCGGCGGACGGGUGAGUAACACGUGGGUAACCUGCCUCAAAGAGGGGGAUAGCCUCCCGAAAGGGAGAUUAAUACCGCAUAAAAUCAUAGCUUCGCAUGAAGUAAUGAUUAAAGGAGUAAUCCGCUUUGAGAUGGGCCCGCGUCGCAUUAGCUAGUUGGAGAGGUAACGGCUUACCAAGGCAACGAUGCGUAGCCGACCUGAGAGGGUGAUCGGCCACAUUGGAACUGAGAUACGGUCCAGACUCCUACGGGAGGCAGCAGUGGGGAAUAUUGCACAAUGGGCGAAAGCCUGAUGCAGCAACGCCGCGUGAGUGAAGAAGGUCUUCGGAUUGUAAAACUCUGUCUUUUGGGACGAUAAUGACGGUACCAAAGGAGGAAGCCACGGCUAACUACGUGCCAGCAGCCGCGGUAAUACGUAGGCGGCAAGCGUUGCCCGGAUUUACUGGGCGUAAAGGAUGUGUAGGCGGAUAUUUAAGUGAGAUGUGAAAUCCCCGAGCUCAACUUGGGGCGUGCAUUUCAAACUGGAUAUCUAGAGUGCAGGAGAGGAAAGCGGAAUUCCUAGUGUAGCGGUGAAAUGCGUAGAGAUUAGGAAGAACAUCAGUGGCGAAGGCGGCUUUCUGGACUGUAACUGACGCUGAGGCAUGAAAGCGUGGGGAGCAAACAGGAUUAGAUACCCUGGUAGUCCACGCCGUAAACGAUGAGUACUAGGUGUAGGAGGUAUCGACUCCUUCUGUGCCGCAGUUAACACAAUAAGUACUCCGCCUGGGAAGUACGGUCGCAAGAUUAAA
RNAcentral lists this ribosomal RNA (850 nucleotides) under uncultured bacterium. RNAcentral describes it as "bacterial SSU rRNA". It matches the Rfam family "Bacterial small subunit ribosomal RNA", at positions 26 to 898 of the family's 1533-position model. The record is from RNAcentral.